AGCUGUGGAUGUGGACUUUACUGUCACUUGGGUGGACCAGCCCUCUCUGCGUCUAUCUUGACCCUCCCCUGAGACCAGACCCCCAGGCUCCUAGAGCUGCAUCUUCUCCCAAAUAAAAGCACAGGGUCUUAAUGAAGCCCCAUCAGUUUGCAAGAAAGGAAAAUGGACUUGGGGUAGGUGGCUCUCUGGAGGUCACAGAAUCCUUGGGUGAGGCUGGCACGGCCGCAUCCUUGCCCUGCCCCAGGCUUGCCCGGGGGUGGACACACUGCCAGAGCCCUUCCUGAAGACACGCACCCCCCGCCCUGGGAUGGGCCCAGCAGAAGGAAUGCAGGCUGGCGUUUUCCUAAUGAGUAGUUUCCUGCCUCUCAGUUCAGGAAGCCGUGAGACUGAACAAAUAGUGAGCUCAGAAAUAAAUGUUUCGGGGAAAGUUGUUUUCCUGGUAAGAGCCGUUCCCUUGCUGGUGCAGCCACAGCCCUCUGGCCCUGCGCACCAGCUCUGCUUGGCCUCGCUGUUCCCCGUCCUGCGCGCGCCCCAGACGCCCGUUCUCCCACCAAGACGCUGGUCAUCCUGCCAGGGCCGCUCUAGUCCUCCCCUACCCGACCCUGGCAUCCCCAGAGGGUCCCGGCUGGGUGGGGAGAGGAUGGAGUCAGGCCCUGCCCACCCUGGCCUCUGAGGUCCACCCACCCCAAGGGUGCCCGGUCCGCCCAUGCCUGUCUCUCCCACCUGCUUGCACAGGCCACAGGGAGAUCCAGGUGAUAGACACAGACUACAAACAGUACGCCAUCCUGAGGGUGUCCCUCCACUGGCGGGACAAGGAAUUCCACGUGCUCAAGUAUCUCAUUCGGAGCCUUGAGGGCGAGUAUGAACCAGGCUUCUGGAAGUUCCGGGGGUUGACCGCAGACACGGGACUGUACCUGGUGGCCCGGCACGGUAGAGAAACUGAGGCCCAGGCCACACAGCUAGGACACCCACUCCUGGCCAUGGCUCCAACCGCUGCCCCCCGGGGUCCUUGGAGGCCGGGCGGCGCCCUGAGGCCCUGGCCUUCUGUGUCACAGGAGCUGAUCUAGGGGAGCCCCUGCCCCCAUCCGGGAUGCUGGGAGCCCCGCCCACCCGGGCUCCCCUGGCUGCCCAGCCCUGGGGGGCCCGCCUGCACCUGCUCUGAAUAAACU
This is a non-coding RNA of Delphinapterus leucas (beluga whale), 1169 nucleotides long. The record is from RefSeq and is a predicted model, not a curated record. Lineage: Eukaryota; Metazoa; Chordata; Mammalia; Artiodactyla; Monodontidae.